UUCCAGACUCCUACGGGAGGCAGCAGUGAGGAAUAUUGGUCAAUGGGCGGGAGCCUGAACCAGCCAAGCCGCGUGAGGGAAGAAGGUACAGCGUAUCGUAAACCUCUUUUGUCAGGGAACAAAGGCGGGGACUAGUCCCCGGAUGAGGGUACCUGAAGAAAAAGCAUCGGCUAACUCCGUGCCAGCAGCCGCGGUAAUACGGAGGAUGCGAGCGUUAUCCGGAUUUAUUGGGUUUAAAGGGUGCGUAGGCGGAGUGUCAAGUCAGCGGUAAAAUUUCGGGGCUCAACCCCGUCGUGCCGUUGAAACUGACGCCCUUGAGUGAGUGAGAAGUAAGCGGAAUGCGUGGUGUAGCGGUGAAAUGCAUAGAUAUCGCGCAGAACUCCGAUUGCGAAGGCAGCAUGCCGGCUCCACACUGACGCUGAGGCACGAAAGCGUGGGUAUCGAACAGGAUUAGAUACCCGAGUA
Molecule: ribosomal RNA, 465 nt
Filed under: uncultured bacterium
Lineage: Bacteria
Description: bacterial SSU rRNA
Rfam family: Bacterial small subunit ribosomal RNA
Source: RNAcentral